This 563-nucleotide ribosomal RNA is filed under the name uncultured bacterium. Its description in RNAcentral is "partial 16S ribosomal RNA". It matches the Rfam family "Bacterial small subunit ribosomal RNA", at positions 355 to 909 of the family's 1533-position model. The record is from RNAcentral.
UGGGGAAUUUUGGACAAUGGGCGAAAGCCUGAUCCAGCAAUGCCGCGUGUGUGAAGAAGGCCUUCGGGUUGUAAAGCACUUUUGUCCGGAAAGAAAUCCUUGGCUCUAAUACAGUCGGGGGAUGACGGUACCGGAAGAAUAAGCACCGGCUAACUACGUGCCAGCAGCCGCGGUAAUACGUAGGGUGCAAGCGUUAAUCGGAAUUACUGGGCGUAAAGCGUGCGCAGGCGGUUUGCUAAGACCGAUGUGAAAUCCCCGGGCUCAACCUGGGAACUGCAUUGGUGACUGGCAGGCUAGAGUAUGGCAGAGGGGGGUAGAAUUCCACGUNUAGCAGUGAAAUGCGUAGAGAUGUGGAGGAAUACCGAUGGCGAAGGCAGCCCCCUGGGCAAGUACUGACGCUCAUGCACGAAAGCGUGGGGAGCAAACAGGAUUAGAUACCCCUGGUAGUCCACGCCCUAAAACGAUGUCAACUAGUUGUUGGGGAUUCAUUUCCUUAGUAACGUAGCUAACGCGUGAAGUUGACCGCCUGGGGAGUACGGUCGCAAGAUUAAAACUCAAAUGAA